GGACACAUUGUCAGGUUGUGCAGAGUGUGCAGAACGGGCAGAAAAAGGUGUCUAACGGCUAGUUUCCGUGGGGGGUGGUUUAAAUAGCCACAGAGGACUGUAGCAAGGCAGAGAACGACCAUUCCAUUCAAAGAAAUCAAGCAUUCUUUCUCUGCAAACGGGUUUUCAACAGAAAAGAAGGAAGAGCACCAUUAACUCCAUCCAGCUCCCUCUUCCCAGCAAUUAACGAAGUCACCUCCUGCUUUCAAGUCGACCAGACGUUCA
RNAcentral lists this long non-coding RNA (264 nucleotides) under Phoenix dactylifera (date palm). Its description in RNAcentral is "long non-coding RNA (PDAC_LNC018847)". Lineage: Eukaryota; Viridiplantae; Streptophyta; Magnoliopsida; Arecales; Arecaceae. The record is from RNAcentral.